GACUGGGAUGAUGGUAUACGUAUACAUACACUUUUGAAUACGUAUAACAUUUCGAGGACAACCGAAGAGUAUGAACUAUGAAGAGGAAGAGAGAGAAACUAUUGUCUUUCUGGAAAGAGAGAGAAAGCACCGGCACCGAGCUCCCCGAUUUUACCUUGCAAUUCCAAUGCCAUUCCCGUCGUUGUUCUGCCACCGGCACCGAGCUCCGCGAAUUUCAUCACAUAAGCAAUACUGAUUUCUGAAAACCUUUGAAAAAGAAGAUCGCCGGGAUUUUUUUUAAAGCUUGAAGUUUCCUAUUUCUGUUUCUCGAAAGCUAUGGUGUGAGGAGAGAGACUGAUAGUUUAAAAACUGCUUCAGGUCAGACGCAACCUUGACCAAGCGUAGACCCAUUAGAGAUCCCUCUUUUUUCACAGCUUUACAGUUCCCUCUUUUUUAAGCUUUACAUUUCCCAUUGGAGCUCCCUCUUUUGACCAAGGACCCAUUAGAGCCAGUUAUGCCGUUUACCAAGCCUCUUGUUCCAGACAAGCUGGCAGCUGCUGAGUAUGGUAGGGGACUAGGGAUUUAGGUUCAAAUGUUCAAUGUAGGUAGGUUGUCUUCAGAGUCAGGAACACAAACACAUUCUUCAGCUUCAAAUAGAUAAUUGUUUACCAAAGUGACAAGGCAACAUGAGAACUGCUAGAUGCCCUAACACUAGGAUAAUUUAUCUUAAGCCUACCUCUAUAGGCUCCAUCGGUUUGUUGAAACUUAUUGUCAUGUGAUCAGAUGCCCCUAAGUCUGUAAUUCAUUCAUCCAAUACAGCCAAGCCUGUUACAUUUCCAUCGAUUUUCAUUUCUGAUUAGAUUUUGUUAAUGGAGGAAAUCGCUUCAGAAGUUGUUAAAGCUGUUGAGUCGUGAAUGUAACACAAGUAUUUUCCACUGGCCAUUAGCAUUGACAGCAACUCUUUUCCUUGCUUUAAGCUUUGUUGCAUUUGUUCCCAGAUAAUGACUCUUUAGGCUUGACUCUUUUUCGUGUUUUGUACGUAAGAUGUCACCUGGAAUGAACAAUCACAGUUUCAGCAUUUAUCUACUAAGUGACCUUACUUCAGACAACUCAUAGUCCUCUGGACCUGGAAAAUCACAUGCAUUCCGUUGGAGAAUUGGUCUAGGGGGGAGAAUCAAAUUUGAUAGAUGGAAUCCACUUAUGCAUACACCGGUCAAUUAAGGAGAUUCCUUAUACUUGUCUCCAAGAUAAUAGCCCUAACACAGUUUAUGUAGCCAGGGUUAGAUUUCUGUAUAAUCUGGUUUGAGCUUCUCUUUAAAAAUGCGGGAACCAAGUUGUUGCUAAGUUGUCCUUGAUUAACCAGCAUGUGCCGAAUGCUAAUUUGUUGCUUACUCACCAUUACAUUGGCAAUAUGCAGUUUUCCUUACAGGUAGAACUUUGUCUAAACUAAAGAAGUGCAUGUUAGCUUAUGAUACAUAUGAAUAAACAUAAAUCAUGCGGAAAAGCCAUAAAGUCAGGAAAUAUAUUAUUUACACAUAAUCAUUUAUCAUAAUUCAGAUGCAUACACUUUGUAGCGUGCCCUCCCUAGCUGCGCCCGAACCGAACAAGAACAAGUCUUUAGGACUCCAAGUGUCGUCCCUCCGUAGAUAGUCCACAACACGUCCGGAUCCGCCUUAAGCUUGACCAACUAGAAUCGCCCUUAAGGUUACUUAGGAUUUUCGGCUAUUUUGGGUUGCAAGUGUGUGGCUGAUUUUUGCUUAAAAAUCUUACCUUUGAAUACUUCAAAAUCAUCUGUUAAAUAUGUGACCCUAGGCCCUUAUUUAUAGAGUUUAUGGAAAGGAAUUAUAAUCCUACUAGGAUAUGGAUUUAUUAAUUAGAAUCCUAAUAGAACUCUAAAUAAUAAAUUUAAUCUUUUAGGAUUAGGAUUUAAUCAAUGCACGAAUUCCGAUAGGAUUAGGAUUCGUUACGAACACGAGCACACGCACACGCAUGCACGCCCGUACGCAGGCCUUGCGGCCCACGCCGAGCGCACAGCGCAUGCGGCCUUGCAACCCAUGAGCUUCGUGCGCGCCUGCCAGUGCUUGGUUGGGCCUGGCCUUGCGCUUGGCCUGGUCGAGCACUUGGCGUGUGGCUUGCUUGGCCGAGGCUAGGCCAACGCCAAGCAAGCCUCGUCCGAUGCUAAUUCGUACGAUACGCUUUGCGAUGAAAUUCCCGAUUCCGGAAUUCAUUUCCGAUACGAACAAUAUUUAAUAUUUUCGAUUCCGGAAUUAAUUUCCGUUUCAAACAAAUAUUUAAUAUUUCCGUUUCCGGAAUUAUUUUCCGAUUACGAUAAUAUUUCCGAUUCUGACAAUAUUUCCGUUUCCAGCAAUAUUUCCGAUUCCGGCAAUAUUUCCAUUUCCAUUAAUAUUUUCCGAUACGUACCAUGUUUUCGUUUCCGGCAACAUCUACGACUUGGAUAAUAUUUAUAUUUCCGAUACAAUCCAUAUAUCCGUUUCCGGCAAUAUCAUCGUUUCCGGAAUAUUCAUUUGCUUGCCUUUGACGAUUUUAGCUCCCACUGAAACCAAGAUCCGUCGAUUCUGAAUAUCCAUAGAUGGAAUAUUUAAUGCCAUUAAAUACUUGAUCCGUUUACGUACUUUUUGUGUGACUCUACGGGUUCAGUUAAGAGUAAGC
Spinacia oleracea (spinach) is the source of this 2649-nucleotide long non-coding RNA. RefSeq lists it as uncharacterized. NCBI's taxonomy places the organism in Eukaryota, Viridiplantae, Streptophyta, Magnoliopsida, Caryophyllales, Amaranthaceae. The record is from RefSeq and is a predicted model, not a curated record. The transcript is spliced from 3 exons.